UUUGGUAUGGUAAAUAAAUGUAUCAACUGGUCCCGUUCAAUGACAGCGACUCUCAUUAAGCAGUGCGUGGUCGUGUUUGGGUAGUCGACCAAGAAGCAGAACAUACAUACCGCACCUGGGUGAUUGGCGAUUCUCGCCAUGGAUGGCAUGGAGUUCUUCUUCGAGGAAUCUGGAGCAGGGCUUGUACCGCGUUUCGAUGCCGGAGUUGUCUUAAGAGAUCUAGUUGCCGGCGCACAAUUGGCUGAGGGCGACACGAGUGGAACUGGCGAUGCCUAGGAGGACCUGAUUUCUUCUAUGCCGAUAAGACCAGCUGGAGGCCGCAUGGAUUACAAAGGGGGCGAGGAUAUUGGUGAAACAGUGCGCACUGGGAGGGGUGUGUGCGGCUCGUAUGAUCUUGGCGGCGAAGGGAUGGAUGAUUCCUGCGAGAUAGACGAUUCAUAUAUUGCGUCUGAUGCCGGGAACGAGGGUGCGGACGAGGAGGGCGUGGGAGUAACCAAUACGAAUCAAUCUUCUUGGACCAGGAGGGUCAGAGUUGGGAAGGCAAAGGAUGAGAGGGAGCCGAGCCCUUCAAGGAUGCCUCCCCUUGAAGCUUCUGUCCGUGCAUAUGUCGAUAAAAAAUCAGGAAAUGUUGGCAAUCCAUCGAUUGGGACUAGUUUUGAUUCUGUCGAAGAAGGCUACGAGUUUUACAAUAUGCAUUCCUGGGAGGCCGUCUGAAUGUACACCGGAAAAAAUGCAUGCAGGAGAUUGUGUAGGCAGAGAAGUGAGAGUGCAAACCACCUACUGAAAGGGUAUGUACCACCAGGGUGCCCCAUGCACUUGUUCAUCAGGCAGUAUGAGAAAAAUGCAAUUUGACCGUGACUCAGAAGAAAGUUACCAGGAGAAAAGGACAAAACUAUGGGUUGUCCUGAAGCAAAAUAUCCCAAAUGAGGUACAUGCAGCGCAGGUUUAUACCAGCGCUGUAUGAACCUGGGUUGUAUGAUCUAGUAGAAGUCAAGCCGCAUUUGGAGUACAUUGCUAGGCACAUCAAAUUUCAGUCGAGGGAAAAGUGGUGCAAGAAUGAGUUUGUGAUCUCCGUGAGCGAGUCGGCUGAUGAGUUCGGGUGCGAGUGUGGGACAUUCGAGCACUAUGCAAUGGUUUGCAGCCAUGCACUUAAGGUCAUGAUACACCUGAAUUUGCAUGAGCUCCCUGCGAAGCAUGUGCUCAGGCGAUGGACUAGAUAUGCAAGAGAUAUACUACCGCCAGAGUAUCUGCGCUACCAGAAGGAUCAUCGACCGCUGAAGUAUUCUUCUCGUCAACGCAACACUUUGUACCUGCUAGCGCUUGAUGCCGUUAAGUUAGGCGACAGCAAUGUGGAAGCAUGUGCAUUUGCUAUGGAGAAAAUGCGAGAUGUCAAAGUGCAGGUCGAGCCAGUUGCCGCCAUGAGGGAUGGGCUUGGUUUGUCUGAUAUAAAGUUGGCUACAUAUUCAGCCGGCUCUGGCAUUGGUAACAAACAGCACUUUGGCCGAACUGGGUCUGAGCAGACCAUUUUGCAAGGAUCAGACGUGUUCCUGACGCCGUCAAGGAAACGACCGGCUGGGCGUCCCACAACUAGCCGCAACAAAGCUCCAUACGAGGAACCAUCAAAAGAGGAGUAGAUUAUGUUAUGUAUGCGGAGUUCAGGGACACAAGAGCACAACAUGCCUUGCUCGGGGGAUGUGCCAAAGGCACCUAGGAAAUCUCCUCGCUGCUCAAAAUGUGGGUUAACAGGGCACAGGAACACAUGCAGCAACCCGGUUAAAGUCUGAAAAAACUUAAUUUCAGUGUUGUUUACUGGUGGUAUGCAUUUGGCUAUGUCACCUUUGUUAUUAGAAACAGUCUCUGGAACGAGCUGAGGAAUAAGAAGACGCCAUGACUACGGUUAUGGGGAGAGGUUCAGAAGAGUCGAAAGCUUUGGUUGUGCUGAAAUGGACACGUCCGCUGCUGUUCUUCUGCGGUAUAAAUAGAUGAUUUCCAAGCGGCCGGAUUCCCAAAACGGUUUGAUCGUAAACCCCAACGUCCGGAUUCCGGUUGGCUGGCUACACCGGCUAGCAGCCUCUGUGAACAUGAGAGCCCGCGCGUGCCCAUGUUCAUCAGUGUGUGUGUGUGUGUGAGUGUGAGCUCGCUAGCACUGCAGAGACAUGAUAGGUAAAUGGAUUCGCACGUCUAGCCAGCUUGCCAGCAAGCUCUGGACGACAUGGGAUGCUACUGUAGAAAAAUACAUAAUACGGUGUGGGGUGUAUAGCUGUGAGCUCGAAUACAUGACAUUAAUGCCACGCUGCAACAGCAGGAUGCGAUUCCUGACGACCAGGAUAGCGAGCUACAUGGAGCUCGGCCUCCAAACAGCAUUUUCACGA
This is a long non-coding RNA of Triticum dicoccoides, 2372 nucleotides long. RefSeq lists it as uncharacterized. The record is from RefSeq and is a predicted model, not a curated record. Lineage: Eukaryota; Viridiplantae; Streptophyta; Magnoliopsida; Poales; Poaceae. The transcript has 5 exons.